Molecule: long non-coding RNA, 1192 nt
Filed under: Nicotiana benthamiana
Lineage: Eukaryota; Viridiplantae; Streptophyta; Magnoliopsida; Solanales; Solanaceae
Description: long non-coding RNA (NBEN_LNC005224)
Source: RNAcentral
AUCCUAGAGACCCUUCUAAACUAUUCUUUGAAAUAAAAAGAUGCUAAGAACCUAAGAACAAUUAGCAUAAAAAUAUGCAUUUAGACCUAGACGUAUUGGGUAAGCCUAAUUAGCUAGGGGAGAGACGAAAAAUACGCACAAAAAUAACGCCCAGUAAGCAUCGUUCUUCACACAAAGAGACCCAUCAGCUUUUUCUUCCUCCUUCUUCAUUUUGAACACCCAUCGAGACCCCUCUUCUCCAAGACCAGCAUCUCCAGACCUCCACACCAAAUAACCACCCUUAAUUCCUCCAUAGCCACAUCCAUAUCACUCUCUCUGAAGCAGUAGGUCGAACUCCCCAAGCUUCCCUCACCAGUCGCCGGAUUCGAUCACCAGUAGGUUUGGUCGACCAUUCACGACCAGUCGUUGAACACACACACAUACAGAGCAGAGAGAACGAACAGAAAAUCGGGACGGAGGGAGAGGAUUUUUGGCUGGAUUUAUUUGUCACAAAAAUGGAAUUUGACUGAGAUUUGGGUUUGAGUUCGUGUUCGAUUCAAGAUUCGUGGUGCCGUGUCGAGUUCCCAGCUGUUGAUCGAGGUUCCAGUCUAAUUUCUGCUCGUGUUUGCUAAACUUCCGCCCUAUUUGUUGUGUUUUUUCUUGGGCUCUUUCAAUUGUUUGUAGCCCAACCACGUAUUCAACUAUGAAUUCAAGUUUUACUUGGACAUAAUAUGAACCAUGUCUUUUAUUCCUCUCCAUGAUAUUUCGAUACAUUUGUUAUCUUUAUACGAUUGAAUCCUUUACUGAGUAAUUUGUAUGUUAGAAUAUUUAAACCUGUUUAGGUUAAAUCAGUGUCGUCAAAUUCUGGUGGGGGAAUUACAGAUGUAUCGAAUUUGUGAAGAAUGCUUGGUUGUGGUCAAUAGAGUGGCUGUGAUGUGCUUAAGGAUAGAUGUGCUGAAAUUUUUGAAAAAAGUUCGAGUUAUAAAUAAACUUGGACUACAUCAUUUUGACUUAAUUGAUUUGAACGAAUUCGACUAGCGUGCUUAGUUUGAUUUUCGAGUAUUGAGCUGAAAUUUGUUCUCAAUUUGUUGUUGCCGUUUGUGAAUCUCAGCCCUUGAUAGAGUUUAUUAGUUGUUAACGUCCUUGUAUCUACUGAAUUCUGGUCUGAACUCUUUUGUGAUGCUGAACAUUUUUAAUUGGCUUUUUGAUCUGG